CCUGCACAACUCCCUCCAUGGCGGCCCCCAUCACCUCUCCCGCCGCUUCUGUGGCUCCCGGUCUCCUCGGCGCCGCCCCCAUGCCGGUUCUCUGUCCUAGCCCGCCCGCGACUUGGACUUCUCCUCCUGUCGUCAAGGGCCCUGUCUCCCCUGCGUUUGCUAUGCCUCCCCUCGCCGGUUCCAUGGCUUCACCCCCAACAUACAUGAGCUUUGCCUUGCCCGCUACUCCCGUGGCUCCUGGAUUCUGCGGCCCUCUCCUGGCUUCGCCCAUUUCCAUCGGGAUCACAGUGUGCAUCCGCCUCCACAACGACCACCUUGUCCAAGGCACCUUUGUGGCCUUCGAUCGCGCCAUGAGUCAUGUCCUUCGUGACUGCAUCGAGCUUCAUCCAAAUGCGGGUCAUCACGUGUUUGUA
Molecule: unclassified non-coding RNA, 413 nt
Filed under: Zea mays
Lineage: Eukaryota; Viridiplantae; Streptophyta; Magnoliopsida; Poales; Poaceae
Description: misc RNA Zm00001eb346690
Source: RNAcentral